This 253-nucleotide ribosomal RNA is filed under the name uncultured bacterium. RNAcentral's name for it is "partial 16S ribosomal RNA". It matches the Rfam family "Bacterial small subunit ribosomal RNA", at positions 524 to 776 of the family's 1533-position model. The record is from RNAcentral.
UACGUAGGGGGCAAGCGUUGUCCGGAAUCAUUGGGCGUAAAGAGCGCGUAGGCGGCCCAGUAAGUCCGCUCUGAAAGUCAGGGGCUCAACCCCUGGAUGCGGGUGGAUACUGCUGGGCUAGAGUCCGGAAGAGGCGAGUGGAAUUCCUGGUGUAGCGGUGAAAUGCGCAGAUAUCAGGAGGAACACCGAUGGCGAAGGCAGCUCGCUGGGACGGUACUGACGCUGAGGCGCGAAAGCGUGGGGAGCGAACAGG